CUUUGACUCUACAAGAGUCAUGCAGGUUUUCUAUCAGUCAUGAAGUUCAUGUGACAACUCAUAUAGCAAAAGAGAACUUAUUUGAAAAUUCUUAAAAAGAAGACAUCCGUUCGACGGAUAUUAUUGCAGCACUCAGAAAUGAGCUGACCAUCCAAAAUUCAUGACAACGCUUGAAGACAGAGGUUUGAAGCAAUGUCUCCAUCUCUGAACAUGAGCAGAAGAAGAAAAUUGAAGCAGUUUUCCAAUCUAGUUACUGGAUCACUGGUGAGGGAAAAGCUGGUAAAACAGAUGAAAGCGUCGUGUGGACUGGACUUGAUCUGUGGACUACCUGUAGAACCCGCAGAACUCAUCAGCAUCCCCUCUACUGCUUAUAUUCUACUUCAUGUAAAGGUUGUUGCUAGUUCUGGAAGAAAAAAACAAGCUUGCAAACAGAAAACCAAUUUGCUUAAAGCUUACCUUACACUGAAAGUUGUGGGCACACGGAGCAGAGCUGAUUGGCUAGCUUCAGCAGUGGAGUACCUCAAAAAGAAGUUGAUAUUAACUUCAACACCUGAAAAUCUUUCUCUGAAUAUUAUAUUUGAAUUCAUCUUAACACAGAGCGGGCAGAACAAUAAUAAAUAUCAAGUUUGUGCUGUUUGAAGCAGAUGCCCUGGCAGAAGCAAAUAAGGAACCAUCAACGGCAUGCCGCUCCAAAGGGAAGGGGUGCUGUGAACUAAGCCUGGCAACAAGGCAGGCAGAGGAGUGGCCUUACCAGCAAAGAUGAUGGUACCUGAGCAAAACAAGAAGAGCAGGUCCAAGGGACAGUAAUUAGGAUCAGCCAAAAGACCAGGUUGCUGCAGAAGUUCGUGGGGAUGAGGCAGGUCUGAAGUUGAGUCAAUCCUAAGGGUUGGGUCAGGUUUGGGAUCAACAGGGUGCAUGGCUUGGAUGCAGUGCACCUCGGAUAGCUCCCCUUCUCUUUUUGGCCUGUACAAGGGAAGACUAGCCUCCCAUCUUUAAUAGUUAAACUCACCUGCAGUCCUCGAACAAAACUUAGUACAGAGAUUUGCUCCAUCCCUGGACCACUGGACCGUCUGGGCAUUAGUUCUGCUCCUGAAUUUAAUAUGCUACAAGAGCAAGCCUGGUGAACCUAUUUUAAGGGAUUAUCAGUGAAUAUAUUUCCAUAUAAAUUUUUAAAAGUGUUUUUUUUUUAAGGAUGAUGUAGCCUUCUACAUCUUUAUUAUUGGAAUGUAACAUUUCCAUUGUGAUAUUUUUCUUUUCUGGGUUCAGACCUCUUCAAAAUAAUGAGAAAUCAGAUGGUUCGGGUAACUAAUGCUUGCUUACGUGCUGAGAUAGAUGUUGCUGAAUGUGCUGAAGACAAUAAAAUAAUUAUUUUACUUCUUGUAAGCA
Molecule: long non-coding RNA, 1386 nt
Filed under: Anas platyrhynchos platyrhynchos (common mallard)
Lineage: Eukaryota; Metazoa; Chordata; Aves; Anseriformes; Anatidae
Description: lncRNA (ENSAPLG00000017645.1)
Source: RNAcentral